CGGUUACACGUAAAGAUUGGCUUCAACUGGCUUCGCCCUGUGCUGAAUUCCCACCAAGUCUCCCUCCUCCUGCCUCUGACUCACUCAGCAGCCAGCCCUACUUUUCGGAAGCUGGAGAAAAAUAAGUGUGAAAUGAAAACUGAAGAGAGAUCUGUGGAGUAGAAGAAGUGGGCAGAGAGGAGAAGAGGAGGAAUGGGAAAAGGGAGGACUGGUGGAAUGAACUUGACCAGACUGUGCUAUGUAUAUAUAUGGACAUACCACAGAGCCUCCAGUCGCAUGGUGACAGCACCAGUACUUCCUGAUCCUUGCACACUAAGGAUGAUGGCAGCUGUUGGUUUUCUCAGGGGCCUUUCCCAGAUUGAAGAAGUUCCAUUCUGUUGCUUGUUUGCUGAGGRAUGUUUUAUUUUGUUUGUUUGUUUGUUUGUUUUAAUGAGGAAUGGAUGUUGGGUUUUGUCAAAAGCAUUUUCUGCAUUC
Urocitellus parryii (Arctic ground squirrel) is the source of this 474-nucleotide long non-coding RNA. RefSeq lists it as uncharacterized. Lineage: Eukaryota; Metazoa; Chordata; Mammalia; Rodentia; Sciuridae. The record is from RefSeq and is a predicted model, not a curated record.